AUUUAACGCUGGCGGCAGGCCUAACACAUGCAAGUCGAACGAGUGGCGGACAGGUGAGUAAUGUCUGGGAACCUGCCUGAUGGAGGGGGAUCACUACUGGAAACGGUAGCUCAUACCGCAUACCAUCAGAUUUGCCCAGAUGGGAUUAGAUUGUUGGUGGGGUAACGGCUCACCCGGGCGACGAUCCCUAGCUGGUCUGAGAGGAUGCCCAGCCAAACUGGAACUGAGACACGGUCCAGACUCCUACGGGAGGCAGCAGUGGGGAAUAUUGAACAAUGGGCGCAAGCCUGAUGCAGCCAUGCCGCGGGUAUGAAGAAGGCCUUCGGGUUGUAAAGUACUUUCAGCGGUGAGGCGUUACCCGCAGAAGAAGCACCGGCUAACUCCGUGCCAGCCGCCGCGGUAAUUC
Molecule: ribosomal RNA, 406 nt
Filed under: uncultured bacterium
Lineage: Bacteria
Description: partial 16S ribosomal RNA
Rfam family: Bacterial small subunit ribosomal RNA
Source: RNAcentral